GGGGAAUUUUCCGCAAUGGGCGAAAGCCUGACGCAGCAACGCCGCGUGGAGGAUGAAAUCCCUUGGGAUGUAAACUCCUUUCGAUCGGGACGAUUAUGACGGUACCGGAGGAAUAAGCCACGGCUAAUUCCGUGCCAGCAGCCGCGGUAAUACGGGAGUGGCAAGCGUUAUCCGGAAUUAUUGGGCGUAAAGCGUCCGCAGGCGGCCUUGAAAGUCUGUUGUUAAAGCGUGGAGCUUAACUCCAUUUCAGCAAUGGAAACUACAAGGCUAGAGUGUGGUAGGAGCAGAGGGGAUUCCCGGUGUAGCGGUGAAAUGCGUAGAUAUCGGGAAGAACACCAGUGGCGAAGGCGCUCUGCUGGGCCAUAACUGACGCUCAUGGACGAAAGCCAGGGGAGCGAAAGGGAUUAGAUACCCCUGUAGUC
RNAcentral lists this ribosomal RNA (422 nucleotides) under uncultured cyanobacterium. RNAcentral's name for it is "bacterial SSU rRNA". It matches the Rfam family "Bacterial small subunit ribosomal RNA", at positions 356 to 795 of the family's 1533-position model. Lineage: Bacteria; Bacillati; Cyanobacteriota. The record is from RNAcentral.